CUAGCAAGACGCUCUAAAGAGGCCUCAAACGGACCUCAAAUCGAUAUUACAGACAGACGGAAUAAUAAUUUUCCUUAUUUAGGAGAUUUUUGAAUGAAAAAGCACCGCCAACCUGUGAUGCGAAGACGAUAAUGGCGACAGACAUGACCAGCGUCACCCCCAUGGUGAUGACCACCGCGGUGGUGUUGUGGAAGGAGGCGACAGUCCCCACCAUUUUGCUUUGAGAGAAAUAUGCCCACCAGCCCCACGAGGUUCCAGGGGUGACGCCGGCUGAAGGACCUGCAGCAGCUGAGGGUGAAGGCCACCACGAUGAAGACGAUGAAGGAGCUGAGGUAGGCCCACAAGUUUUCCUGCACGGCCUCUUUCACCACGCUGGAGAAGGUGAACACGCAGACAAUGCUAAAGGUGAACAGCAGCUGGAGCGUCAGGAUGCUAAACACCUGCAGGAGAAAAUCUGUGCCAGAAGAACCAAGAAUUAGGCAGAUUUCUUCUUGCAUCCUUAAUUUUAUCAGUAUCAUAGUAAAAGUUCAACAUUUUACUGCGUUUGUGUUGCAGCUUCAAUUUGCCUGGAAUAGUUAUGCAACUUUUAAUUGAUUCAAUUUUAUCUUUAAAGAAAGAGGAAGGAGUUUUUCUUUCACUAAUGAUUUGAAAAGUUAACAGCCGUUCAUUUCUUCUGCGCAGCAAAAACACAAAAUCUUACCUAGUAUUUUUGGUCUAGUUUCUAGUCCA
Long non-coding RNA from Xiphophorus couchianus (Monterrey platyfish), 729 nucleotides. RefSeq lists it as uncharacterized. The record is from RefSeq and is a predicted model, not a curated record. Lineage: Eukaryota; Metazoa; Chordata; Actinopteri; Cyprinodontiformes; Poeciliidae. The transcript is spliced from 3 exons.